This 300-nucleotide ribosomal RNA is filed under the name uncultured Mycobacterium sp. Its description in RNAcentral is "bacterial SSU rRNA". It matches the Rfam family "Bacterial small subunit ribosomal RNA", at positions 114 to 415 of the family's 1533-position model. Lineage: Bacteria; Bacillati; Actinomycetota; Actinomycetes; Mycobacteriales; Mycobacteriaceae. The record is from RNAcentral.
CACGUGGGUGAUCUGCCCUGCACUUCGGGAUAAGCUUGGGAAACUGGGUCUAAUACCGGAUAGGACUACGGACUGCAUGGUUUGUGGUGGAAAGCUUUUGCGGUGUGGGAUGGGCCCGCGGCCUAUCAGCUUGUUGGUGGGGUGAUGGCCUACCAAGGCGACGACGGGUAGCCGGCCUGAGAGGGUGUCCGGCCACACUGGGACUGAGAUACGGCCCAGACUCCUACGGGAGGCAGCAGUGGGGAAUAUUGCACAAUGGGCGCAAGCCUGAUGCAGCGACGCCGCGUGGGGGAUGACGGC